GCACAAGCGGUGGAGCAUGUGGUUCAAUUCGACGCAACGCGAAGAACCUUACCCAGGCUUGAACAGCGAGUGACCACUCCCGAAAGGGAGCUUCCGCAAGGACACUCGUAGAGGUGCUGCAUGGCUGUCGUCAGCUCGUGUCGUGAGAUGUUGGGUUAAGUCCCGCAACGAGCGCAACCCUUGUCUGCUGUUGCCAUCACGUUAUGGUGGGCACUCUGCAGAGACUGCCGGUGAUAAACCGGAGGAAGGUGGGGAUGACGUCAAGUCAGCAUGGCCUUUAUGUCUGGGGCUACACACGUGCUACAAUGGCCGAUACAAACCGUCGCGAUACCGCAAGGUGGAGCUAAUCGGAGAAAGUCGGUCUCAGUUCGGAUUGUAGGCUGCAACUCGCCUGCAUGAAGUUGGAAUCGCUAGUAAUCGCGGAUCAGCACGCCGCGGUGAAUACGUUCCCGGGC
RNAcentral lists this ribosomal RNA (455 nucleotides) under uncultured bacterium. RNAcentral describes it as "bacterial SSU rRNA". It matches the Rfam family "Bacterial small subunit ribosomal RNA", at positions 923 to 1379 of the family's 1533-position model. The record is from RNAcentral.